RNAcentral lists this transfer RNA (85 nucleotides) under Escherichia coli. RNAcentral's name for it is "tRNA-Tyr". It matches the Rfam family "tRNA". Rfam says of the family: Transfer RNA (tRNA) molecules are approximately 80 nucleotides in length. Their secondary structure includes four short double-helical elements and three loops (D, anti-codon, and T loops). RNAcentral also lists the same sequence under 4 other names. The record is from RNAcentral. Lineage: Bacteria; Pseudomonadati; Pseudomonadota; Gammaproteobacteria; Enterobacterales; Enterobacteriaceae.
GGUGGGGUUCCCGAGCGGCCAAAGGGAGCAGACUGUAAAUCUACCGUCAUCGACUUCGAAGGUUCGAAUCCUUCCCCCACCACCA